RNAcentral lists this long non-coding RNA (236 nucleotides) under Brassica napus (rape). RNAcentral's name for it is "long non-coding RNA (BNAP_LNC012007)". The record is from RNAcentral. Lineage: Eukaryota; Viridiplantae; Streptophyta; Magnoliopsida; Brassicales; Brassicaceae.
AGUGGAGUAUGGCACUGCAAAAACAAACAAUGGGUCGUCGUGUCAACAAUCAAGGUACGGUAUUUUCACGUUGGAGAACACCGGCGGAUGGAUGGCUACGUGAAGUGCAACUAUGAUGGAGGAUGGUCAUCUAUUAAUACUCGAGCACGAGCAGGUUGGAUCAUUAGGGAUUCUUUUGGAAGUUAUCAAGGUGCGGGUCAAGUGGCUCAUGGAUUUGGAAGCGGAGUUGCACCUUG